UCCGGCGAGAAAACUCAGUGGG
This 22-nucleotide microRNA is filed under the name Bombyx mori (domestic silkworm). RNAcentral describes it as "bmo-miR-2748". The record is from miRBase by way of RNAcentral. Lineage: Eukaryota; Metazoa; Arthropoda; Insecta; Lepidoptera; Bombycidae.